RNAcentral lists this ribosomal RNA (139 nucleotides) under uncultured eukaryote. Its description in RNAcentral is "partial 18S ribosomal RNA". It matches the Rfam family "Eukaryotic small subunit ribosomal RNA", at positions 1299 to 1458 of the family's 1831-position model. The record is from RNAcentral.
UCGUGGUUAUGAACUGUCAGCUCAAUUGCGAUAACGAACGAGACCGCGACUGCUAAAUAGCCCGCGCCGCCCCGGCGGCGUGCUUUGGCUUCUUAGUGGGACUAUCGGCUCAAGCCGAUGGAGGUACGCGUCAAUAACA